This 471-nucleotide ribosomal RNA is filed under the name uncultured bacterium. Its description in RNAcentral is "bacterial SSU rRNA". It matches the Rfam family "Bacterial small subunit ribosomal RNA", at positions 28 to 484 of the family's 1533-position model. The record is from RNAcentral.
GACUAACGUUGGCGGCGUGCCCAAUACAUGCAAGUCGAACGCUCUGGUAGCAAUAUCGGGGAGUGGCGAACGGGUGAGUAACACGUGGAUGAUCUACCUCUGAGAUUGAGAUAACCCAUCGAAAGGUGGGCUAAUACCGAAUAUGACUACGAUCCGUAUCCGGAAUGUAGUAAAAGGCGGGGACCGCAAGGCCUGCCACUUAGAGAUGAGUCUGCGGCUGAUAGCUAGUUGGCGGGGUAAUGGCCCACCAAGGCAACGAUCAGUAGCGGCCUGAGAGGGUGUACGGCCACACUGGAACUGAGACACGGUCCAGACUCCUACGGGAGGCAGCAGUAGGGAAUUUUCCGCAAUGGCGAAAGCCUGACGGAGCAACGCCGCGUGAGGGAUGAAGGUUUUCGGAUCGUAAACCUCUUUUGGAGCGAGACGAACGAGCUUUCGGUUAACAAUCGGAGGCAAUGACUGUAUCGCUAG